This 253-nucleotide ribosomal RNA is filed under the name uncultured bacterium. RNAcentral's name for it is "partial 16S ribosomal RNA". It matches the Rfam family "Bacterial small subunit ribosomal RNA", at positions 524 to 776 of the family's 1533-position model. The record is from RNAcentral.
UACAGAGGUCUCGAGCGUUGUUCGGAUUCAUUGGGCGUAAAGGGUGCGUAGGUGGCGCGGUAAGUCGGAUGUGAAAUCCCGGGGCUCAACCUCGGAACUGCAUUCGAUACUGCCGUGCUUGAGUACUGGAGAGGAGAUCGGAAUUUACGGUGUAGCAGUGAAAUGCGUAGAUAUCGUAAGGAAGACCAGUGGCGAAGGCGGAUCUCUGGACAGUUACUGACACUGAGGCACGAAGGCCAGGGGAGCAAACGGG